RNAcentral lists this ribosomal RNA (1344 nucleotides) under metagenome. RNAcentral's name for it is "bacterial LSU rRNA". It matches the Rfam family "Bacterial large subunit ribosomal RNA", at positions 1564 to 2925 of the family's 2925-position model. The record is from RNAcentral.
UGAGUACGAGGAGAUACGUCACCGAAGUGGCUGAUGUCAUGCUUCCAAGAAAAGCUCUAAACACGUUAAUCUGAAUUUGCCCGUACUCUAAACCGACACAGGUGGAUGGUUGAGAAUACCAAGGGGCGCGAGAUAACUCUCUCUAAGGAACUCGGCAAAAUUGCCCCGUAACUUCGGAAGAAGGGGUGCCCCCGCGAGGGGGUCGCAGUGAAGAGAUCCAGGCGACUGUUUACCAAAAACACAGGUCUCCGCUAAGUCAUAAGACGAUGUAUGGGGGCUGACGCCUGCCCAGUGCCGGAAGGUUAAAGAAGUUGGUUAGCGAAAGCGAAGCUGGCGGCUGAAGCCCCGGUGAACGGCGGCCGUAACUAUAACGGUCCUAAGGUAGCGAAAUUCCUUGUCGGGUAAGUUCCGACCCGCACGAAAGGCGCAACGAUCUGGGUGCUGUCUCGGAGAGAGGCUCGGCGAAAUAGGAUUGUCUGUGAAGAUACGGACUACCUGCACCCGGACAGAAAGACCCUAUGAAGCUUUACUGUAGCUUGGAAUUGGGUUCGGGCUUUGUUUGCGCAGGAUAGGUGGGAGGCUUUGAGAUACCCCUUGUGGGGGGUAUGGAGCCAACGGUGAGAUACCACUCUGACGAAGCUAGAAUUCUAACCUUAUGCCGUUAUCCGGCUAAGGAACAGUUUCAGGUGGGCAGUUUGACAGGGGCGGUCGCCUCCUAAAAGGUAACGGAGGCGCGCAAAGGUUCCCUCAGGCUGGUCGGAAAUCAGCCGUAGAGUGCAAAAGCAUAAGGGAGCUUGACUGCGAGACCUACAAGUCAAGCAGGGACGAAAGUCGGCUUUAGUGAUCCGACGGCUCAGCGUGGAAUGGCCGUCGCUCAACGGAUAAAAGUUACUCUAGGAUAACAGGCUGAUCUCCCCCAAGAGUUCACAUCGACGGGGAGGUUUGGCACCUCGAUGUCGGCUCAUCGCAACCUGGGGCGGUAGUACGUCCCAAGGGUUGGGCUGUUCGCCCAUUAAAGCGGUACGUGAGCUGGGUUCAGAGCGUCGUGAGACAGUUCGGUCCAUAUCCGGUGCAGGCGUAAGAGCAUUGAGAGGAUUCCUCCUUAGUACGAGAGGACCGGGAGGAACGCACCGCUGGUGUACCUGUUAUCGUGCCAACGGUAAACGCAGGGUAGCCAAGUGCGGAGUGGAUAACCGCUGAAAGCAUCUAAGUGGGAAGUCCACCUCAAGAUGAGUGCUCUCAUGGGUUAACCCAGUAAGGUCACGUGUAGAAUACGCGUUGAUAGGCUGUAAGUGGAAGUUCAGUAAUGAAUGAAGCUGAGCAGUACUAAUAGACCGAGGGCUC